Folsomia candida is the source of this 3240-nucleotide RNA transcript. It is a transcript of the gene named probable serine/threonine-protein kinase kinX, with no coding region annotated. The record is from RefSeq and is a predicted model, not a curated record. The transcript has 5 exons. NCBI's taxonomy places the organism in Eukaryota, Metazoa, Arthropoda, Collembola, Entomobryomorpha, Isotomidae.
GACCAAGCUGUGCCAUAGAAUCCAAUUCAAGAACGAAUCUGUAACCAUUUCCGGUGUAAAUGGAACUGUUGCAACUUUUAGCUGCAGCAAACUUGAUGACAAGAAGUGGAUAUGGGAUUGCAAGCAUGAUGGAAACAAAUCUGAGUACAACCAUAAAUUGUAUACAACAUUCACCGACAAAAAGACUUUUGCGUUGGUCGUUCGUUGUUGGGCUAGCGGUUUGAAGGGAUGGAGCGUAGUUUCCACAAAGAAAUUCCUUCAUGACGAUGUGCAAAUUCAAAUUCUGGAGCAUGUAAAAUCAUUGGGGUUUGAAACUGCAGACUCGCUUCCCCUUAGGUAUAAGCAAUGCCCUAAAAUUUAAAUAUCUAAUGUCAUAUGUAUAUCAUUGACAAUAAAAUAAUUCCAUUUGUGUUGGAUAUGAUAAACUUAUCUACAUAGAAAAUACACAAACAUGCUGCAGUGAUAUUUUAGUUAAGCUAGCACACACAUUUUGCAUAUGAAUAAAACAUUAAAAUCAAAGGUGAUGCCUCAACAAAAGGCCUACAUUUACACUGAUUGAGGAUUUCUUGAACGGUGUACAUGUUUUUGAGCAUCACAGUUGGCUGGGUAUCGGUUUUUGACUGAGAACCGUACGUGUGUACGUAUUUAGGUUUGUAUGUACAGGAGUUCUUGCCUUGAAAGGUGUCAGUUUGAGUCUUUGCUUUGGAGUUACUGGAUAAAUUGUUCUUACGCAUUUCGGAAUCAUAAUUAUUAUUAAAACUUUGGCAAGUCCAUAAAUCACAGCUUACUUAAGGAUUGGAGGGCAUCAUGGCUGACUACGUGGGCCAAGUGGACGACGGUUGGGAAAUCAAAAAUGUAAAUGCAAGCCAACCAGAAAUUUUGGGGGAUCUUAUCAUGCAAAAAUUCGUUGAAUCAAAGUCACAGAUUUAUACGUUUCUAUUAUGCGGAGAGUGCCUGCAAAUCCCCCCAAGCAACAAUUACCAAUAUGUAUGUGAGCAAGGGCAUGUCAUGUGUGAGUCCUGUGGAUAUAAAACAGCAGCCUGUGCAUUCGUUUAUUCAGGAAACAAAUGUGAUCGAAAAAUUUCUCGAGUUAAAAUCACCAUAGCUCAGCAGCAACUCAGCAAUUGCUUCCUUUCUGAUGAUACACCAGGCAAAGAAAUUUGUGAGGUCACCAUUCCUUCGCCGUCCGUAGUUGAAUCUGAGAAACUUGUGUUACCUGACGCAACAACGCAGCAACCAAACACUGAUGAUGUUAUCUCAAAAACGGUUUCCACUAAUGAAAUUGUCGCAGUCAAUCCUCCAAUAAAAUUGGAUGAAAAAUUAUCAGAUGAUAUUCAUGCCAUUACUAAUCCAGCAAUCGUGGAAGCCAUAGGUCUGCCUGAUAAUGCUCCUUCCACAGUUAUGUUAAAACCAAUUUCUACUGAACCAGCUACUCAAAUGGAUACAAUGGAAGAGAACUCAACUUGUGACUUUUCACCCAAAUCAUGCUCUUCUUCUCCAAAACUGGAAACUGAUAUGCAAAAAACAAUUGAUAUGGAGAAAGAUGAGGAAUCCCCCCAGAAAAUUGAGGAAUCACCCCAGGAGCUUGCCCCCCAGAAACUUGAGGCAUCUGAAUCCCCCCAGAAACUUGAGGCAUCGGAAUCCCCCCAGAAACUUGAGGCAUCUGAAUCCCCCCAGAAACUUGAGGCAUCGGAAUCCCCCCAGAAACUUGAGGAACUGCAGAAACUUGAGGAACUACCCCAGAAACUUGAGGAACUACCCCAGAAACUUGAGGCCUCGGAAUCCCCCCAGAAACUUGAGGCAUCUGAAUCCCCCAGAAACUUGAGGCAUCGGAAUCCCCCCAGAAACUUGAGGCAUCGGAAUCCCCCAGAAACUUGAGGCAUCUGAAUCCCCCCAGAAACUUGAGGCAUCGGAAUCCCCCCAGAAACUUGAGGAACUACCCCAGAAAAUUGAGGAACUACCCCAGCAACUUGAGAAACUGCAGAAACUUGAGGAACUACCCCAGAAACUUGAGGCAUCGGAAUCCCCCAGAAACUUGAGGAAUCCCUCCAGAACGUUGAGGAGUCGGAAUUCCCCCAGAAAGUUGAGAAAUCACCCCAGAAGCUUGAGGAAUCGGAAUCCCCCCAGAAAAUUGAGGCAUCGGAAUCCCCCCAGAAAAUUGAGGCAUCGGAAUCCCCCCAGAAAAUUGAGGCAUCGGAAUCCCCCAGAAACUUGAGAAAUCACCCCAGAAGCUUGAGGAAUCGGAAUCCCCCCAGAAACUUGAGGCAUCGGAAUCCCCCCAGAAAAUUGAGGAAUCUUCCCAGAAAGUUGAGGAAUCACCCCAGGAGCUUGCCCCCCAGAAACUUGAGGAACUACCCCAGAAACUUGAGGAACUACCCCAGAAACUUGAGGAACUACCCCAGAAACUUGAGGAACUACCCCAGAAACUUGAGGAACUACCCCAGAAACUUGAGGCCUCGGAAUCCCCCCAGAACGUUGAGGAGUCGGAAUUCCCCCAGAAAGUAGAGGAAUCACCCCAGGAGCUUGCCCCCCAGAAACUUGAGGAACUACCCCAGAAACUUGAGGCAUCGGAAUCCCCCCAGAACGUUGAGGAGUCGGAAUUCCCCCAGAAAGUUGAUAAAUCACCCCAGAAGCUUGAGGCAUCGGAAUCCCCCCAGAAACUUGAGGAACUACCCCAGCAACUUAAGAAACUACCCCAGAAACUUGAGGAAUCGGAAUCCUCACAGAAACUUGGGGAAACCUUCCAGGUAGAACAGACCCAACCAUUGGCAGCCAAAUUUUACCAUCUUAAAAGGCUCUCAAAAUAUUUCACAAAGGAAGAGCUCGCAGAUGUAAAAGAAUGGAUGGGAAGGACGUGUACAAACAUGACUGAAGCUGAAAGAACAAUCGUAUGUCGCUACCGUCUCCAUCAGAUCCUUGAGGAAAAAACAUUCGCAGAUUUUUUUUGGGAUUCGAUUCGAAAAUGAGAAUUACUCUGCGAGAUUCUUUUCUUCCGUAUAUGCAUACGGUAAUUCUGCUUAAAAUGCAUUCGUAUUCACUCCGCAAUUAACUGUUUCCAUAAGAACCUGAUCAAUAAUAUUACAUACGUAUGUAUACAAAUGGUUCCCUUUCUCCUUGAUAAGACGUGCACACUUUACAUGUUAAAUAUUUGAUGAACUUUUACCAUUACUUCCAGUGACAUGUAAUAAUGCGGUUAUUUUACACGAAUAAAGCUUCCAUUCAAUUCAUAAUUACAAACAA